Molecule: ribosomal RNA, 494 nt
Filed under: uncultured bacterium
Lineage: Bacteria
Description: partial 16S ribosomal RNA
Rfam family: Bacterial small subunit ribosomal RNA
Source: RNAcentral
GACGAACGCUGGCGGCGCGCUUAACACAUGCAAGUCGAACGGAAAGGCCUGCUUUCCCUUGUGGAUUGCGGGUACUCGAGUGGCGAACGGGUGAGUAACACGUGAGUGAUCUGCCCCCAACUUGGGUAUAAGCCUGGGAAACUGGGUCUAAUUCCCGAUAGGACUGCAGGGUGGUGCCUGUGGUGGAAAACGAUUUUCUAGUGGUUGGGGAUGAGCUCGCGGCCUAUCAGCUUGUUGGUGGGGUAAUGGCCUACCAAGGCGGCGACGGGUAGCCGGCCUGAGAGGGUGGACGGCCACAUUGGGACUGAGAUACAGCCCAGACUCCUACGGGAGGCAGCAGUGGGGAAUAUGGCACAAUGGGCGGAAGCCUGAUGCAGCGACGCCGCGUGGGGGAUGACGGCCUUCGGGUUGUAAACUCCUUUCGACCGCGAGGAAGCCACCUGGUUGGAAGGGUGGUGACGGUAGUGGUAGAAGAAGCACCGGCUAACUACGUG